CCAGUGAGGGAUUUAAAGACGGCACGUUGUCCUUGUAACAGGGAUCCAGCAGGCUGGCCACCCAGUAAUCAGCACAAGUUAGAAUGUGGGCAACUCGGCAGUCGUUGCGCAGGCACUUUGGUGACUCUAGAUAACCUCGGGCCAAUCGCACGUGCCCGUGACGGCGACGACGCAUUCGGAUGUCUGCCCUAUCAACUUUCGAUGGUACUGUCUGCGCCUACCAUGGUGACCACGGGUAACAGGGAAUCAGGGUUCGAUUCCG
Pelobates cultripes (western spadefoot toad) is the source of this 262-nucleotide non-coding RNA. NCBI's taxonomy places the organism in Eukaryota, Metazoa, Chordata, Amphibia, Anura, Pelobatidae. The record is from the annotation of a GenBank genome assembly.